Molecule: ribosomal RNA, 583 nt
Filed under: uncultured bacterium
Lineage: Bacteria
Description: bacterial SSU rRNA
Rfam family: Bacterial small subunit ribosomal RNA
Source: RNAcentral
ACGGGUGAGUAAUACCUAGGAAUCUGCCUGGUAGUGGGGGACAACGUCUCGAAAGGGACGCUAAUACCGCAUACGUCCUACGGGAGAAAGCAGGGGACCUUCGGGCCUUGCGCUAUCAGAUGAGCCUAGGUCGGAUUAGCUAGUUGGUGAGGUAAUGGCUCACCAAGGCGACGAUCCGUAACUGGUCUGAGAGGAUGAUCAGUCACACUGGAACUGAGACACGGUCCAGACUCCUACGGGAGGCAGCAGUGGGGAAUAUUGGACAAUGGGCGAAAGCCUGAUCCAGCCAUGCCGCGUGUGUGAAGAAGGUCUUCGGAUUGUAAAGCACUUUAAGUUGGGAGGAAGGGUUGUAGAUUAAUACUCUGCAAUUUUGACGUUACCGACAGAAUAAGCACCGGCUAACUCUGUGCCAGCAGCCGCGGUAAUACAGAGGGUGCAAGCGUUAAUCGGAAUUACUGGGCGUAAAGCGCGCGUAGGUGGUUUGUUAAGUUGGAUGUGAAAGCCCCGGGCUCAACCUGGGAACUGCAUUCAAAACUGACAAGCUAGAGUAUGGUAGAGGGUGGUGGAAUUUCCUGUGUAGCGG